This 283-nucleotide unclassified non-coding RNA is filed under the name uncultured fungus. Its description in RNAcentral is "sequence contains 5.8S rRNA gene". The stretch from base 1 to 53 matches the Rfam family "5.8S ribosomal RNA", at positions 102 to 154 of the family's 154-position model. Lineage: Eukaryota; Fungi. The record is from RNAcentral.
GAACGCACCUUGCGCUCCUUGGUAUUCCGAGGAGCAUGCCUGUUUGAGUGUCAUUAAUAUAUAUAUCAAACUUCUCUUGUUGAGUGGCUUGGAUGUGGGGGUUUGCUGGCAUCUUAAAAAGGUUCAGCUCCCCUGAAAUGCAUUAGCAGAACAACCUGUUCAUUGGUGUGAUAAAACUAUCUACGCUAUUGAAUGUGAGGGGCAGUUCAGCUUUCUAACAGUCCUUGGACAAAUCAUCAUUAAUGUGACCUCAAAUCAGGUAGGACUACCCGCUGAACUUAAG